UGUAAGCCUGUGAAGGUGUGCUGUGAGGCAUGCUGGAGGUAUCAGAAGUGCGAAUGCUGACAUAAGUAACGAUAAAGCGGGUGAAAAGCCCGCUCGCCGGAAGACCAAGGGUUCCUGUCCAACGUUAAUCGGGGCAGGGUGAGUCGACCCCUAAGGCGAGGCCGAAAGGCGUAGUCGAUGGGAAACAGGUUAAUAUUCCUGUACUUGGUGUUACUGCGAAGGGGGGACGGAGAAGGCUAUGUUGGCCGGGCGACGGUUGUCCCGGUUUAAGCGUGUAGGCUGGUUUUCCAGGCAAAUCCGGAAAAUCAAGGCUGAGGCGUGAUGACGAGGCACUACGGUGCUGAAGCAACAAAUGCCCUGCUUCCAGGAAAAGCCUCUAAGCAUCAGGUAACAUCAAAUCGUACCCCAAACCGACACAGGUGGUCAGGUAGAGAAUACCAAGGCGCUUGAGAGAACUCGGGUGAAGGAACUAGGCAAAAUGGUGCCGUAACUUCGGGAGAAGGCACGCUGAUAUGUAGGUGAAGUCCCUCGCGGAUGGAGCUGAAAUCAGUCGAAGAUACCAGCUGGCUGCAACUGUUUAUUAAAAACACAGCACUGUGCAAACACGAAAGUGGACGUAUACGGUGUGACGCCUGCCCGGUGCCGGAAGGUUAAUUGAUGGGGUCAGCGCAAGCGAAGCUCUUGAUCGAAGCCCCGGUAAACGGCGGCCGUAACUAUAACGGUCCUAAGGUAGCGAAAUUCCUUGUCGGGUAAGUUCCGACCUGCACGAAUGGCGUAAUGAUGGCCAGGCUGUCUCCACCCGAGACUCAGUGAAAUUGAACUCGCUGUGAAGAUGCAGUGUACCCGCGGCAAGACGGAAAGACCCCGUGAACCUUUACUAUAGCUUGACACUGAACAUUGAGCCUUGAUGUGUAGGAUAGGUGGGAGGCUUGGAAGUGUGGACGCCAGUCUGCAUGGAGCCGACCUUGAAAUACCACCCUUUAAUGUUUGAUGUUCUAACGUUGACCCGUAAUCCGGGUUGCGGACAGUGUCUGGUGGGUAGUUUGACUGGGGCGGUCUCCUCCUAAAGAGUAACGGAGGAGCACGAAGGUUGGCUAAUCCUGGUCGGACAUCAGGAGGUUAGUGCAAUGGCAUAAGCCAGCUUGACUGCGAGCGUGACGGCGCGAGCAGGUGCGAAAGCAGGUCAUAGUGAUCCGGUGGUUCUGAAUGGAAGGGCCAUCGCUCAACGGAUAAAAGGUACUCCGGGGAUAACAGGCUGAUACCGCCCAAGAGUUCAUAUCGACGGCGGUGUUUGGCACCUCGAUGUCGGCUCAUCACAUCCUGGGGCUGAAGUAGGUCCCAAGGGUAUGGCUGUUCGCCAUUUAAAGUGGUACGCGAGCUGGGUUUAGAACGUCGUGAGACAGUUCGGUCCCUAUCUGCCGUGGGCGCUGGAGAACUGAGGGGGGCUGCUCCUAGUACGAGAGGACCGGAGUGGACGCAUCACUGGUGUUCGGGUUGUCAUGCCAAUGGCACUGCCCGGUAGCUAAAUGCGGAAGAGAUAAGUGCUGAAAGCAUCUAAGCACGAAACUUGCCCCGAGAUGAGUUCUCCCUGACUCCUUGAGAGUCCUGAAGGAACGUUGAAGACGACGACGUUGAUAGGCCGGGUGUGUAAGCGCAGCGAUGCGUUGAGCUAACCGGUACUAAUGAACCGUGAGG
Molecule: ribosomal RNA, 1695 nt
Filed under: Escherichia coli
Lineage: Bacteria; Pseudomonadati; Pseudomonadota; Gammaproteobacteria; Enterobacterales; Enterobacteriaceae
Description: partial 23S ribosomal RNA
Rfam family: Bacterial large subunit ribosomal RNA
Source: RNAcentral